Molecule: ribosomal RNA, 363 nt
Filed under: Triticum aestivum (bread wheat)
Lineage: Eukaryota; Viridiplantae; Streptophyta; Magnoliopsida; Poales; Poaceae
Description: partial small subunit ribosomal RNA
Source: RNAcentral
AUGAAAUUCAAUGAUAAUGAUAAUCCUCACAAUAUGCACCCUAGCCAAUGCCUUUAUGAGUUUGAAAAUUACAUUAGAAAGCAAAAUAACUUCAAUGCAAAUGUUAUGAAACAAUUGCAAUACAAUUCUGAUAUGAUUGCUCACUUGAGUGACUUGUUAUUUAGAAUCUCAAAUGAUGUUAGAGGUGUGGGGAAGCAUGCUUCUAUGGUUCAAACUCAGUUAGAACAAGUUGCUAAAUCUCAAACAGAGUUGUUAGAUGAAAUGAAUAAUAAUAUCAAUGAUCAUGCUGUUAGAGUAAUGACUAGAGGAGGUAGGAUGACUCAGGAACCACUCUAUCCGGAAGGACACCCAAAAAUAAUUUAA